UUCUUUGGAGAGUUUGAUCCUGGCUCAGGACGAACGCUGGCGGCGUGCCUAAUACAUGCAAGUCGAGCGGACCGGAUUGGGGCUUGCCUUGAUUCGGUCAGCGGCGGACGGGUGAGUAACACGUGGGCAACCUGCCCGCAAGACCGGGAUAACUCCGGGAAACCGGAGCUAAUACCGGAUAACACCGAAGGCCGCAUGGUCUUCGGUUGAAAGGCGGCCUUUGGGCUGUCACUUGCGGAUGGGCCCGCGGCGCAUUAGCUAGUUGGUGAGGUAACGGCUCACCAAGGCGACGAUGCGUAGCCGGCCUGAGAGGGUGACCGGCCACACUGGGACUGAGACACGGCCCAGACUCCUACGGGAGGCAGCAGUAGGGAAUCUUCCGCAAUGGGCGAAAGCCUG
This 399-nucleotide ribosomal RNA is filed under the name Geobacillus stearothermophilus. RNAcentral's name for it is "bacterial SSU rRNA". It matches the Rfam family "Bacterial small subunit ribosomal RNA", at positions 1 to 385 of the family's 1533-position model. The record is from RNAcentral. Lineage: Bacteria; Bacillati; Bacillota; Bacilli; Caryophanales; Anoxybacillaceae.